Molecule: ribosomal RNA, 253 nt
Filed under: uncultured bacterium
Lineage: Bacteria
Description: partial 16S ribosomal RNA
Rfam family: Bacterial small subunit ribosomal RNA
Source: RNAcentral
GACAGAGGAGCCAAGCGUUGUCCGGAUUGACUGGGCGUAAAGCGCACGCAGGCGGAUGCGCGCGUGGGGGGUGAAAUCUGGCCGCUUAACGGCCAGGCGCCAUCCCAUACGGCGCGUCUGGAGUGAUGCAGAGGUCGAUGGAAUUGCCGGUGUAGUGGUGAAAUGCGUAGAGAUCGGCAGGAACACCCAGGGGGAAACCAGUCGACUGGGCAUCUACUGACGCUGAGGUGCGAGAGCGUGGGGAGCGAACCGG